RNAcentral lists this ribosomal RNA (1178 nucleotides) under uncultured bacterium. Its description in RNAcentral is "bacterial SSU rRNA". It matches the Rfam family "Bacterial small subunit ribosomal RNA", at positions 26 to 1169 of the family's 1533-position model. The record is from RNAcentral.
AGGACGAACGCUGGCGGCGUGCCUAAUACAUGCAAGUCGAACGCACUGACGUCGACAGAAGGUGCUUGCACUGGAAGUUGAUUGACGUGAGUGGCGGACGGGUGAGUAACACGUGGGUAACCUGCCCUUAAGCGGGGGAUAACAUUUGGAAACAGAUGCUACUACCGCAUAAAAGUUGAGAUCACAUGGUCUUAAUUUGAAAGACGGCCUUUGGCUGUCACUUAAGGAUGGACCCGCGGCGUAUUAGCUAGUUGGUGAGAUAAUAGCCCACCAAGGCGAUGAUACGUAGCCGACCUGAGAGGGUAAUCGGCCACAUUGGGACUGAGACACGGCCCAAACUCCUACGGGAGGCAGCAGUAGGGAAUCUUCCACAAUGGACGAAAGUCUGAUGGAGCAACGCCGCGUGAGUGAAGAAGGUUUUCGGAUCGUAAAACUCUGUUGUUGGAGAAGAACAGGGACUAGAGUAACUGUUAGUCCUUUGACGGUGUCCAACCAGAAAGCCACGGCUAACUACGUGCCAGCAGCCGCGGUAAUACGUAGGUGGCAAGCGUUGUCCGGAUUUAUUGGGCGUAAAGCGAGCGCAGGCGGUUUCUUAAGUCUGAUGUGAAAGCCUUCGGCUUAACCGAAGAAGUGCAUCAGAUACUGGGAAACUUGAGUGCAGAAGAGGAAAGUGGAACUCCAUGUGUAGCGGUGAAAUGCGUAGAUAUAUGGAAGAACACCAGUGGCGAAGGCGGCUUUCUGGUCUGUAACUGACGCUGAGGCUCGAAAGUAUGGGGAGCGAACAGGAUUAGAUACCCUGGUAGUCCAUACCGUAAACGAUGAAUGCUAAGUGUUGGAGGGUUUCCGCCCUUCAGUGCUGCAGCUAACGCAUUAAGCAUUCCGCCUGGGGAGUACGACCGCAAGGUUGAAACUCAAAGGAAUUGACGGGGGCCCGCACAAGCGGUGGAGCAUGUGGUUUAAUUCGAAGCUACGCGAAGAACCUUACCAGGUCUUGACAUCUAGCGCCAAUCCUAGAGAUAGGACGUUCCCUUCGGGGACGCUAAGACAGGUGGUGCAUGGUUGUCGUCAGCUCGUGUCGUGAGAUGUUGGGUUAAGUCCCGCAACGAGCGCAACCCUUAUGAUUAGUUGCCAGCAUUUAGUUGGGCACUCUAAUCAGACUGCCGGUGACAAACCGGAGG